CAGCCCUGAAAAUGGAUGGCGCUGGAGCGUCGGACCUAUACCGGACCGUCUCGGCAAGAGCCCCUUUCGGGGGGAAGCCAUGCGGAGACGAGUAGGAGGGCCGCUGCGGUGAGCGUAGAAGCUUGGGGCGCGAGCCUGGGUGGAGCCGCCGCAGGUGCAGAUCUUGGUGGUAGUAGCAAAUAUUCAAACGAGAACUUUGAAGGCCGAGAAGGA
This 213-nucleotide ribosomal RNA is filed under the name Cerithideopsis costata. RNAcentral's name for it is "partial 28S ribosomal RNA". It matches the Rfam family "Eukaryotic large subunit ribosomal RNA", at positions 1307 to 1500 of the family's 3401-position model. The record is from RNAcentral. Lineage: Eukaryota; Metazoa; Mollusca; Gastropoda; Potamididae.